GACGAACGCUGGCGGCGCGCCUAACACAUGCAAGUCGAACGAGCGAGAGAGAGCUUGCUUUCUCAAGCGAGUGGCGAACGGGUGAGUAACGCGUGAGGAACCUGCCUCAAAGAGGGGGACAACAGUUGGAAACGACUGCUAAUACCGCAUAAGCCCACAGGUCGGCAUCGACCAGAGGGAAAAGGAGCAAUCCGCUUUGAGAUGGCCUCGCGUCCGAUUAGCUAGUUGGUGAGGUAACGGCCCACCAAGGCAACGAUCGGUAGCCGGACCGAGAGGUUGAACGGCCACAUUGGGACUGAGACACGGCCCAGACUCCUACGGGAGGCAGCAGUGGGGAAUAUUGCACAAUGGGGGAAACCCUGAUGCAGCGACGCCGCGUGGAGGAAGAAGGUCUUCGGAUUGUAAACUCCUGUUGUUGAGGAAGAUAAUGACGGUACUCAACAAGGAAGUGACGGCUAACUACGUG
Molecule: ribosomal RNA, 466 nt
Filed under: uncultured bacterium
Lineage: Bacteria
Description: partial 16S ribosomal RNA
Rfam family: Bacterial small subunit ribosomal RNA
Source: RNAcentral